GAUGAACGCUAGCGACAGGCUUAACACAUGCAAGUCGAGGGGCAGCAGGAAGUAGCAAUACUUUGCUGGCGACCGGCGCACGGGUGAGUAACGCGUAUGCAACCUACCUAUCAGAGGGGGAUAACCCGGCGAAAGUCGGACUAAUACCGCAUAAAACAGGGGUCCCGCAUGGGAAUAUUUGUUAAAGAUUUAUUGCUGAUAGAUGGGCAUGCGUUCCAUUAGAUAUUUGGUAAGGUAAUGGCUUACCAAGUCUGCGAUGGAUAGGGGUUCUGAGAGGAAGGUCCCCCACACUGGUACUGAGACACGGACCAGACUCCUACGGGAGGCAGCAGUGAGGAAUAUUGGUCAAUGGGCGAGAGCCUGAACCAGCCAAGUCGCGUGAAGGAUGAAGGAUCUAUGGUUCGUAAACUUCUUUUAUAAGGGAAUAAAGUGCGGGACGUGUCCUGUUUUGUAUGUACCUUAUGAAUAAGGAUCGGCUAACUCCGUGCCAGCCGCCGCCGUAA
Molecule: ribosomal RNA, 503 nt
Filed under: uncultured bacterium
Lineage: Bacteria
Description: partial 16S ribosomal RNA
Rfam family: Bacterial small subunit ribosomal RNA
Source: RNAcentral